AACGCAUAUUGCGCCCAUUAGUAUUCUAGUGGGCAUGCCUGUUCGAGCGUCAUUUCAACCCUCAAGCCUUGGCUGCUUGGUGUUAGAGCAUCUGCGAGGAACUGCAGGCUCUGAAAAUCAGUGGCGGGCUCGCUGUGGACCCGAGCGUAGUAAUUUAUCCUCGCUUAGGGGCACAUAGCGGGCAUCCAGCCGUAAAACCCCCCACUAUUUUAAAGGUUGACCUCGGAUCAGGUAGGAAUACCCGCUGAACUUAA
Molecule: unclassified non-coding RNA, 254 nt
Filed under: uncultured fungus
Lineage: Eukaryota; Fungi
Description: partial contains 5.8S ribosomal RNA, internal transcribed spacer 2, and large subunit ribosomal RNA
Source: RNAcentral